RNAcentral lists this long non-coding RNA (1955 nucleotides) under Mus musculus (house mouse). Its description in RNAcentral is "RIKEN cDNA G730013B05 gene". Lineage: Eukaryota; Metazoa; Chordata; Mammalia; Rodentia; Muridae. The record is from RNAcentral.
AGAUCCUGCCGCGUGACGACGGCUCUCCUAGAUCCAUCCACGGUUCCUCUGAAAGUCACUAGGAACUUUGUCAUCGAUGCAGUUGUUUCCUGAUAACGGAUGGAGUGCCUGCUGUAUUGAGAUUAUGGGUGUGGGCCACAGUGCCCAGCCAGAUGUAUCUUCUAAUCCACCAAGGGAAUCUGAACUGUUAAUUAAUUGUUAAUUGUUAAAACAUUGCUGGGCAAAAUAGCCCCGACAUGCCGCUUGAAGCACCUGGGCAGCUCAGACAUGAACUUCCUAAACCAUGAAAAACAAGACAACAAAGAGGAUGGAAGACAGGGAGGAAAAAGUCAUCAAAGGAAAGCAGCGAGAAACCGAGAAACUGGUGUGUACUGGAUCAGAGUGAAUAAGCAGAUGUGGUUGGAAGCAUACUAUUGAUGAAAAUCACCUCAGCUAAUAGACGUAGCUCAACCAAAACAUUGGCUUACACAAUUUGCUGGAAUUCUCUGUCUUCCACUAGCGGGCUUCAGCAGAAGAUCUGAACUCUCAGCUCCUCCUGCACCAUGCCUGUCUGGAUGCUGCCAUGCUGCCACCUUGAUGAUAAUGGACUCCUGCACCAUGCCUGCCUGGAUGCUGCCAUGCUGCCACCUUGAUGAUAAUGGACUCCUGCACCAUGCCUGCCUGGAUGCUGCCAUGCUGCCACCUUGAUGAUAAUGGACUCCUGCGCCAUGCCUGUCUGGAUGCUGCCAUGCUGCCACCUUGAUGAUAAUGGACUCCUGCACCAUGCCUGCCUGGAUGCUGCCAUGCUGCCACCUUGAUGAUAAUGGACUCCUGCACCAUGCCUGCCUGGAUGCUGCCAUGCUGCCACCUUGAUGAUAAUGGACUCCUGCACCAUGCCUGUCUGGAUGCUGCCAUGCUGUCACCUUGAUGAUAAUGGACUCCUGCACCAUGCCUGCCUGGAUGCUGCCAUGCUGCCACCUUGAUGAUAAUGGACUCCUGCACCAUGCCUGUCUGGAUGCUGCCAUGCUGUCACCUUGAUGAUAAUGGACUCCUGCACCAUGCCUGCCUGGAUGCUGCCAUGCUGCCACCUUGAUGAUAAUGGACUCCUGCACCAUGCCUGUCUGGAUGCUGCCAUGCUGUCACCUUGAUGAUAAUGGACUCCUGCACCAUGCCUGCCUGGAUGCUGCCAUGCUGUCACCUUGAUGAUAAUGGACUGAACCUCUGAACCUGUAAGCCAGCCCCAAUUACAUGUUGUCCUUAUAAGAGUUGCCUUGGUCAUGGUGUCUGUUCACAGCAGUGAAACCCUAGCUAAGAGAGUGAAUUCAGAUGUAGAAAUCUCCUUCAUCAGCAUCAUGUCUGCCUGCACGCUGCCGUGCUUUCCUCCGUGAUGACACGGAUUGAUCCUCUGAAACUGUAAACCAGCCCCAAUCAAACGCUUUUUAAUACAAGAGUUGCCAUGGUAAUGUGUUUCUUCAUAGCAAUAGGUCGCUAAGACCAGUGGUGUCUUGUUUUCCUGGUUAUUCAUGUUUCUUAGAGUCUUUUGUAGUUAUCUGUACAUUUGCACAAGAGAUUCUUUCCUCCAGGGUUUAUCAACUAUCUCUGACAUAGUGAUUAACUUUACCUCUGAGCUGGGGUGCAUUAAAGCAUACUUUGACUCUAAACCUAGUGAGCCAGGGCACGUGUGGAGGCUUUCAGUUCAGAGGGUAAUGAAUGUGUCUAUCAGCUCACACAGCUGGUAUCCAAAGUGUUGACAACUUGGCAGUCCUAUGCUGCGAGGACUGUUAGGGAUCCAGUGGCAAGGGCAGCAAUGGAGACAUGGGACACUCAGAUGCGUACACUUGGCCUCAAAGGCCAGCUGCAGGUAUCUGCUGGGUGACAAGUUUGGUGGCAGGCAAGUGCACAGCGGGAAAGUUUAGAGCACGAGAGGCUCAGAAGCCAUAGCUUGUAAAGGCAAAUAAAGACUCUUGGCUACAGAU